Molecule: long non-coding RNA, 420 nt
Filed under: Homo sapiens (human)
Lineage: Eukaryota; Metazoa; Chordata; Mammalia; Primates; Hominidae
Description: HSALNT0363682
Source: RNAcentral
GUGCCUUCCUGGAGUGAAGGACUUUCACAGCCCAGCUCUCUGGUAUGGACCCAAUGUCACUGACUACUGAUUCUGCUCAGGCCUCUGGAAAGCCCCUUUGGAAGUUGGGUGUAGCCAUGUGGCUUUCUUGAAUCAGUGAAAUGUGAGCAAAUUGAUGGUGUCGCUUCUGGGCAGAAGUGGUGAGAUCCAGGAAUCCGACAGGCCACCCACCCACUCCCUGCAUUCUCAUUUCCUGCCUUGAACCAGGCACCAGGCGGGGCAGUCACAGCUCAGCAAGGAGAAGCAGCAGGAUGAGGAGAUCUGGCAGCUGCAGAAGGAACAUGGGGCCUGCUCUCAUUCCUGCAGAUGGGAAGGAGAGAAGGAAAGGAUUCUGCAUGGGAAUUCUCAAGACACGGGCCUCCCAAACUUUUAGAGCUUCAU